This 240-nucleotide ribosomal RNA is filed under the name uncultured bacterium. RNAcentral's name for it is "partial 16S ribosomal RNA". It matches the Rfam family "Bacterial small subunit ribosomal RNA", at positions 15 to 257 of the family's 1533-position model. The record is from RNAcentral.
GAUCAUGGCUCAGAUUGAACGCUGGCGGCAGGCCUAACACAUGCAAGUCGAGCGGAUGAGAGGAGCUUGCUCUUCGAUUCAGCGGCGGACGGGUGAGUAAUGCCUAGGAAUCUGCCUAGUAGUGGGGGACAACGUUUCGAAAGGAACGCUAAUACCGCAUACGUCCUACGGGAGAAAGUGGGGGAUCUUCGGACCUCACGCUAUUAGAUGAGCCUAGGUCGGAUUAGCUAGUUGGUAGGG